This 461-nucleotide ribosomal RNA is filed under the name Heterophasia capistrata (rufous sibia). Its description in RNAcentral is "partial 16S ribosomal RNA". It matches the Rfam family "Bacterial large subunit ribosomal RNA", at positions 1938 to 2557 of the family's 2925-position model. Lineage: Eukaryota; Metazoa; Chordata; Aves; Passeriformes; Leiothrichidae. The record is from RNAcentral.
UAUCCUAACCGUGCAAAGGUAGCGCAAUCAAUUGUCCCAUAAAUCGAGACCUGUAUGAAUGGCUAAACGAGGUCUUAACUGUCUCUUACAGGCAAUCAGUGAAAUUGAUCUCCCUGUACAAAAGCAGGGAUAAACCCAUAAGACGAGAAGACCCUGUGGAACUUCAAAAGCAGCAGCCACCCCAAAUAGAAUACACACCCACCUGGGCUCACCUAUCUCAACGGGCUACUGGCCUGCACUUUUUCGGUUGGGGCGACCUUGGAGCAAAAACAAACCUCCAAAUCUUGGACCUUACAUCCAGACUAAGAGCAACCACUCAACGUGCUAAUAGCAACCAGAUCCAAUACAAUUGAUCAAUGGACCAAGCUACCCCAGGGAUAACAGCGCAAUCUCCUCCAAGAGUCCAUAUCGACGGGGAGGUUUACGACCUCGAUGUUGGAUCAGGACAUCCUAGUGGUGCA